This 800-nucleotide ribosomal RNA is filed under the name uncultured bacterium. RNAcentral's name for it is "bacterial SSU rRNA". It matches the Rfam family "Bacterial small subunit ribosomal RNA", at positions 8 to 807 of the family's 1533-position model. The record is from RNAcentral.
AGAGUUUGAUCCUGGCUCAGGAUGAACGCUGGCGGCGUGCUUAACACAUGCAAGUCGAACGAAGCACUUUAUUCGAAUUCUUCGGAAGGAAGAUUUAGUGACUGAGUGGCGGACGGGUGAGUAACGCGUGGGCAACCUGCCUCAUACAGGGGGAUAACAGUUGGAAACGACUGCUAAUACCGCAUAAGCGCACAGUACCGCAUGGUACAGUGUGAAAAACUCCGGUGGUAUGAGAUGGGCCCGCGUCUGAUUAGCCAGUUGGCGGGGUAACGGCCCACCAAAGCGACGAUCAGUAGCCGACCUGAGAGGGUGACCGGCCACAUUGGGACUGAGACACGGCCCAAACUCCUACGGGAGGCAGCAGUGGGGAAUAUUGCACAAUGGGGGAAACCCUGAUGCAGCGACGCCGCGUGAGCGAAGAAGUAUUUCGGUAUGUAAAGCUCUAUCAGCAGGGAAGAAGAAUGACGGCACCUGACUAAGAAGCACCGGCUAAAUACGUGCCAGCAGCCGCGGUAAUACGUAUGGUGCAAGCGUUAUCCGGAUUUACUGGGUGUAAAGGGAGCGCAGGCGGAAGGCUAAGUCUGAUGUGAAAGCCCGGGGCUCAACCCCGGUACUGCAUUGGAAACUGGUCAUCUAGAGUGUCGGAGGGGUAAGUGGAAUUCCUAGUGUAGCGGUGAAAUGCGUAGAUAUUAGGAGGAACACCAGUGGCGAAGGCGGCUUACUGGACGAUUACUGACGCUGAGGCUCGAAAGCGUGGGGAGCAAACAGGAUUAGAUACCCUGGUAGUCCACGCCGUAAAC